RNAcentral lists this ribosomal RNA (1537 nucleotides) under Escherichia coli. Its description in RNAcentral is "bacterial SSU rRNA". It matches the Rfam family "Bacterial small subunit ribosomal RNA". Lineage: Bacteria; Pseudomonadati; Pseudomonadota; Gammaproteobacteria; Enterobacterales; Enterobacteriaceae. The record is from RNAcentral.
AAAUUGAAGAGUUUGAUCAUGGCUCAGAUUGAACGCUGGCGGCAGGCCUAACACAUGCAAGUCGAACGGUAACAGGAAGCAGCUUGCUGCUUUGCUGACGAGUGGCGGACGGGUGAGUAAUGUCUGGGAAACUGCCUGAUGGAGGGGGAUAACUACUGGAAACGGUAGCUAAUACCGCAUAACGUCGCAAGACCAAAGAGGGGGACCUUCGGGCCUCUUGCCAUCGGAUGUGCCCAGAUGGGAUUAGCUAGUAGGUGGGGUAAAGGCUCACCUAGGCGACGAUCCCUAGCUGGUCUGAGAGGAUGACCAGCCACACUGGAACUGAGACACGGUCCAGACUCCUACGGGAGGCAGCAGUGGGGAAUAUUGCACAAUGGGCGCAAGCCUGAUGCAGCCAUGCCGCGUGUAUGAAGAAGGCCUUCGGGUUGUAAAGUACUUUCAGCGGGGAGGAAGGGAGUAAAGUUAAUACCUUUGCUCAUUGACGUUACCCGCAGAAGAAGCACCGGCUAACUCCGUGCCAGCAGCCGCGGUAAUACGGAGGGUGCAAGCGUUAAUCGGAAUUACUGGGCGUAAAGCGCACGCAGGCGGUUUGUUAAGUCAGAUGUGAAAUCCCCGGGCUCAACCUGGGAACUGCAUCUGAUACUGGCAAGCUUGAGUCUCGUAGAGGGGGUAGAAUUCCGGUGUAGCGGUGAAAUGCGUAGAGAUCUGGAGGAAUACCGGUGGCGAAGGCGGCCCUGGACGAAGACUGACGCUCAGGUGCGAAAGCGUGGGGAGCAAACAGGAUUAGAUACCCUGGUAGUCCACGCCGUAAACGAUGUCGACUUGGAGGUUGUGCCCUUGAGGCGUGGCUUCCGGAGCUAACGCGUUAAGUCGACCGCCUGGGAGUACGUACCGCAAGGUUAAAACUCAAAUGAAUUGACGGGGGCCCGCACAAGCGGUGGAGCAUGUGGUUUAAUUCGAUGCAACGCGAAGAACCUUACCUGGUCUUGACAUCCACGGAAGUUUUCAGAGAUGAGAAUGUGCCUUCGGGAACCGUGAGACAGGUGCUGCAUGGCUGUCGUCAGCUCGUGUUGUGAAAUGUUGGGUUAAGUCCCGCAACGAGCGCAACCCUUAUCCUUUGUUGCCAGCGGUCCGGCCGGGAACUCAAAGGAGACUGCCAGUGAUAAACUGGAGGAAGGUGGGGAUGACGUCAAGUCAUCAUGGCCCUUACGACCAGGGCUACACACGUGCUACAAUGGCGCAUACAAAGAGAAGCGACCUCGCGAGAGCAAGCGGACCUCAUAAAGUGCGUCGUAGUCCGGAUUGAGUCUGCAACUCGACUCCAUGAAGUCGGAAUCGCUAGUAAUCGUGGAUCAGAAUGCCACGGUGAAUACGUUCCCGGGCCUUGUACACACCGCCCGUCACACCAUGGGAGUGGGUUGCAAAAGAAGUAGGUAGCUUAACCUUCGGGAGGGCGCUUACCACUUUGUGAUUCAUGACUGGGGUGAAGUCGUAACAAGGUAACCGUAGGGGAACCUGCGGUUGGAUCACCUCCUUA